This 253-nucleotide ribosomal RNA is filed under the name uncultured bacterium. RNAcentral's name for it is "partial 16S ribosomal RNA". It matches the Rfam family "Bacterial small subunit ribosomal RNA", at positions 524 to 776 of the family's 1533-position model. The record is from RNAcentral.
UACGUAGGGGGCAAGCGUUGUCCGGAUUUAUUGGGCGUAAAGAGCGUGUAGGCGGUUUGGUAGGUCCGUUGUGAAAACUCGAGGCUCAACCUCGAGACGCCGAUGGAAACCAUCAGACUAGAGUCCGGAAGAGGAGAGUGGAAUUCCUGGUGUAGCGGUGAAAUGCGCAGAUAUCAGGAAGAACACCCGUGGCUAAGGCGGCUCGCUGGGACGGUACUGACGCUGAGACGCGAAAGCGUGGGGAGCAAACAGG